GACGAACGCUGGCGGCGUGCCUAAUACAUGCAAGUUGAGCGAUGAAGCUUGGUGCUUGCACCAAUUUGAAGAGCAGCGAACGGGUGAGUAACGCGUGGGGAAUCUGCCUUUGAGCGGGGGACAACAUUUGGAAACGAAUGCUAAUACCGCAUAACAACUUUAAACAUAAGUUUUAAGUUUGAAAGAUGCAAUUGCAUCACUCAAAGAUGAUCCCGCGUUGUAUUAGCUAGUUGGUGAGGUAAAGGCUCACCAAGGCGAUGAUACAUAGCCGACCUGAGAGGGUUGAUCGCCACAUUGGGACUGAGACACGGCCCAAACUCCUACGGGAGGCAGCAGUAGGGAAUCUUCGGCAAUGGACGAAAGUCUGACCGAGCAACGCCGCGUGAGUGAAGAAGGUUUUCGGAUCGUAAAACUCUGUUGGUAGAGAAGAACGUUGGUGAGAGUGGAAAGCUCAUCAAGUGACGGUAACUACCCAGAAAGGGACGGCUAACUACGUG
This 497-nucleotide ribosomal RNA is filed under the name uncultured bacterium. RNAcentral's name for it is "partial 16S ribosomal RNA". It matches the Rfam family "Bacterial small subunit ribosomal RNA", at positions 28 to 507 of the family's 1533-position model. The record is from RNAcentral.